This is a non-coding RNA of Mus musculus (house mouse), 294 nucleotides long. Lineage: Eukaryota; Metazoa; Chordata; Mammalia; Rodentia; Muridae. The record is from the annotation of a RefSeq genome assembly.
CAGGUCCAACUGCAGCAGCCUGGGGCUGAGCUGGUGAGGCCUGGGUCUUCAGUGAAGCUGUCCUGCAAGGCUUCUGGCUACACCUUCACCAGCUACUGGAUGCAUUGGGUGAAGCAGAGGCCUAUACAAGGCCUUGAAUGGAUUGGUAACAUUGACCCUUCUGAUAGUGAAACUCACUACAAUCAAAAGUUCAAGGACAAGGCCACAUUGACUGUAGACAAAUCCUCCAGCACAGCCUACAUGCAGCUCAGCAGCCUGACAUCUGAGGACUCUGCGGUCUAUUACUGUGCAAGA